This 1931-nucleotide long non-coding RNA is filed under the name Sus scrofa (pig). Its description in RNAcentral is "lncRNA (ENSSSCG00050036530.1)". The record is from RNAcentral. Lineage: Eukaryota; Metazoa; Chordata; Mammalia; Artiodactyla; Suidae.
AAUUACAUUUCUUAAAUACCUGAGUCACGGACAUACUCCUGUCUGCUCUCUGCUCAGUUAGGUCUAGACUCCUGGCUGCUGCAUUAGAAGCUAAUGAAAUGAAUUCGGGUGAUAAAUGGCUUCACAGCCUGAGGUAGGUGUAGGGGAGGGAGGAUGGGCCUGCAGCUGUUUCAGUCAAUAGCCAGGAUAUCUUAAAGAUCUCAGAUAGAGCUGUAAGUCAUUCGAGCGUAGGUGCAACUCUAAUUUUAAUUCAAGACAUUUUGAACUAGGGCAAAGAUGCAAGGUGGCCAGAUUUAGCAGUUAAGUUGUCCCACGCAUUAGGUGCACUAUGGGGGACAUCCUUAUAAUAAAAAAAUUACUCAUUGCUUGGAGCUUCCGCUGUGGCGCAGUGGGUUAAAGAUCCGGUGUUGCCGCAGCUCUGGCAUAGGUCACAGCUGCGGCUCGGAUUUGAUCCCUGGCCUGGGAAUUUUCACAGGCUGCAGGUGAGACGGAAAAGGAAACAAAUUACUCAUUGUUUUUCUGAAUUGCCAAUGUAGCUGGGUGGCUUCUAUGUUAUCUGGCAACCCUGCAAAGAAAGGAACUCCCAGAUGAGGGGUCCCAGUAAGACUUCUGCCACUGUCCCCUCUUCUGGGUAGCAGAGCUCUUACACAGUUCCAGAAAUGUUGCCAAGGCCCUCACUGAGAAGCAGCUGGACAAACCUUGAAGUUGAGAAGAGGCAGGAAUGUCAGUGGGCUGAGCAGCUUCCGUAAACAUCUCGGGCUCCACUCCCUGCAUCCGCCCAUUGGCUUUGGGAAGUUCUAGAAUGCCGCCUGGCUUAAGGAGAGGAAUACAAGUUUUGAAAUCAGUCAGACCUGAGUUCAGAGCCCUUCCGUCAACUGCAGAGCUUUUGAAUUUGGCUCAACGAGGAGCCACUCUGGACUCAGAAGACUGACUUAUGGAGGCUCAAUACACCAAAGGUGAGUUCAGACUGCUGCAGACCUGGCAGAAUUUUUGACCCGUGUUUUCAGAACUUGCUCGUCGCGACUAUUGAAACGUGCUCUCCCCUUUUCUCGCCUCUCCCCUCCCUUCUUCUCUCUUACAUCACUCCUUAAACAUCUUCCCUUUCUUUUUCUAUAUUGCUGGCAUGGGUAGGAAGCUGUCAGUGAAUGUUGCUGAAAAAAAUCGAAACAAGGGAUCUGAUUUGACUUGUUUAGACCUGAGGUAGAACCGGCUGCUAUACUUGUCUUUUCCUUAGCUGGAACUUAGGAUAGAAAGCCUCUAGGAACUAUGGCAUUUGUUCCCCUCCAUCUCAGUCUUUUAGGCUUUUCAAAAGAUCCUGUUCUAAAGUGAGUGAUGGAGCGAAUGAAUGGCAAGAGUCAGCCCCCUUUGGUUUGUAAACUCAAACCAAACCUUGAGCAAAGGAAGAGACUGUUAUCAAAGGAAGCCUAGCCGAGAAGCAUGGGCCCAGAUGAUGCAGGGUUAAGGGAGAGACAGGGCCACAAAGGCUGACAGUGAAAACAGAAAAAUGGCUUUUCCUUCCCAGUUGUCCACUCCUAGUGGCCUUUUGUAGCUUUAUGUCCCAUCACCCGGCAGUUGGCCACUGUCUGGUCUAGGAGAGACAAGGCAUUAUACUCCAGCAUUAGCAGGAAAUUAAAAUCAUUCAUUGAUCUUAGCACUUCAGCUGCAAGAGAUAGGCCUAAAAGCAGGUGCUUCUCCUAGAAAGUACUGAGGAGUUACUGCUGACUCACAGACAGGGCAGGAUUUUAUGACCACGCAAGUGAAAUGGAGCUGGUUUAACUAUUACUAAUUUAAAGCAUCUCAGUUGUGGCUGGGAUUUAACUGUGGCUGGUAGAGGCUGUGCGUUGCUUCGUUGGGGCCUCUGCAGAGACCUCUGGUGUGCUUUGAUGUUUUAAUUCUAGAUCUAAGCCUUCACGGGCAGAGGUGGCUUUCUC